RNAcentral lists this ribosomal RNA (431 nucleotides) under uncultured bacterium. RNAcentral's name for it is "bacterial SSU rRNA". It matches the Rfam family "Bacterial small subunit ribosomal RNA", at positions 32 to 491 of the family's 1533-position model. The record is from RNAcentral.
AAUCAACGCUGGCGGCGUGCCUAACACAUGCAAGUCGCACGAGAAAGGGACUUCGGUCCUGAGUACAGUGGCGCACGGGUGAGUAACACGUGAAUCAUCUACCUUCGAGUGGGAAUAACUGAGAGAAAUCUUAGCUAAUACCGCAUAAUACCUACGGGUCAAAGCAGCAAUGCGCUUGAAGAGGAGUUCGCGGCAGAUUAGUUAGUUGGCAGGGUAAUGGCCUACCAAGACGAUGAUCUGUAUCCGGCCUGAGAGGGCGCACGGACACACUGGAACUGAAACACGGUCCAGACUCCUACGGGAGGCAGCAGUGGGGAAUUUUGCGCAAUGGGGGAAACCCUGACGCAGCAACGCCGCGUGGAGGAUGAAACUCCCUUGGGAUGUAAACUCCUUUCGAUCGGGAAGAUAAUGACGGUACCGAGAGAAGAACG